Molecule: ribosomal RNA, 435 nt
Filed under: uncultured bacterium
Lineage: Bacteria
Description: partial 16S ribosomal RNA
Rfam family: Bacterial small subunit ribosomal RNA
Source: RNAcentral
GAUGAACGCUGGCGGUAUGCUUAACACAUGCAAGUCGAACGGACUCUUCGGAGUUAGUGGCGGACGGGUGAGUAACGCGUGAGAAUCUGGCUUUGGGUUCGGGACAACCACUGGAAACGGUGGCUAAUACCGGAUGUGCCGAGAGGUAAAAGAGAAAUUGCCUGAAGAUGAGCUCGCGUCUGAUUAGCUAGUUGGUGAGGUAAAGGCUCACCAAGGCAGCGAUCAGUAGCUGGUCUGAGAGGAUGACCAGCCACACUGGGACUGAGACACGGCCCAGACUCCUACGGGAGGCAGCAGUGGGGAAUUUUCCGCAAUGAGCGAAAGCCUGACGGAGCAAUACCGCGUGGGGGAAGAAGGCUCUGGGGUUGUAAACCUCUUUUCUUAGGGAAGAACAAAAUGACGGUACCUAAGGAAUCAGCAUCGGCUAACUCCGUG